RNAcentral lists this ribosomal RNA (731 nucleotides) under uncultured bacterium. RNAcentral's name for it is "bacterial SSU rRNA". It matches the Rfam family "Bacterial small subunit ribosomal RNA", at positions 8 to 727 of the family's 1533-position model. The record is from RNAcentral.
AGAGUUUGAUCAUGGCUCAGAUUGAACGCUGGCGGCAUGCCUUACACAUGCAAGUCGAACGGCAGCAUGAUCUAGCUUGCUAGAUUGAUGGCGAGUGGCGAACGGGUGAGUAAUACAUCGGAACGUGCCCUGUAGUGGGGGAUAACUAGUCGAAAGAUUAGCUAAUACCGCAUACGACCUGAGGGUGAAAGUGGGGGACCGCAAGGCCUCAUGCUAUAGGAGCGGCCGAUGUCUGAUUAGCUAGUUGGUGAGGUAAAGGCUCACCAAGGCGACGAUCAGUAGCUGGUCUGAGAGGACGAUCAGCCACACUGGGACUGAGACACGGCCCAGACUCCUACGGGAGGCAGCAGUGGGGAACUUUGGACAAUGGGCGAAAGCCUGAUCCAGCAAUGGCCGCGUGUGUGAAGAAGGCCUUCGGGUUGUAAAGCACUUUUGUCCGGAAAGAAAUGGCUCUGGUUAAUACCUGGGGUCGAUGACGGUACCGGAAGAAUAAGGACCGGCUAACUACGUGCCAGCAGCCGCGGUAAUACGUAGGGUCCAAGCGUUAAUCGGAAUUACUGGGCGUAAAGCGUGCGCAGGCGGUUGUGCAAGACCGAUGUGAAAUCCCCGAGCUUAACUUGGGAAUUGCAUUGGUGACUGCACGGCUAGAGUGUGUCAGAGGGGGGUAGAAUUCCACGUGUAGCAGUGAAAUGCGUAGAGAUGUGGAGGAAUACCGAUGGCGAAGGCAGCCC